CUUCCCCGGGGAUCCCGGCAAAGCCCUCCGGGAGCACCGACAUUUUGAAUGUGCUGUGGGGCAGGCUUUCCUGAGGCUUGGCAAAACAGAAUAGUUGAUGGAAAGCAAGUAUUUCCUAAAGAGCAUCUACACUGCACUCAGCUUAUGAAGGGACCAGAAAACUUGGUGUAUGGCAUCCUUCGUGUCCUCCUGCCUCUGACAAUGCUUCUCUGCUGGUUGUUUUGAAACUAGGAAAAAAAAA
Molecule: long non-coding RNA, 241 nt
Organism: Calypte anna (Anna's hummingbird)
Lineage: Eukaryota; Metazoa; Chordata; Aves; Apodiformes; Trochilidae
Exons: 2
Source: RefSeq, a predicted model, not a curated record